GCACAAUUGGCCCAGCAUCGUCUGGGUUUGGCUGGUGUAGUUCAAGCCCUUGAUGAUCGGUGCAUCUACUAGGAUCUGGGACCACUCAAUGUGGAGUCCAUCAUGAGAACUUUCCCUUCAUUAGUGGAGGAUUACAAUCACGGACUGGGCACCCGACUGCUGGAUGACCUGCUUUCCCGUUCCAUGUCGGUUGAGUCCUGGGGUUGCCUUUUAGCCCAACAUCCUGGAGGUAUACAAGGACCUGUGGGAGUUUGUUCCCAACCUGCGCCACUAGUCUCCCUCAUCGUCCCUGGGACUAUGCCAUUGACUUGCUUGCGGACUCUGCGCAGAUACAUCUAUACUGUCUGUGGCUAAGGCCAUGGAGGAAUACAUCCGUGAAGCGAUCCAACAAAGUUUCAUCCACACGUCCACCUCUCUUGCUAGUGUGGUGGCUCACCAAGUCCCGUUUACACUCCCGUUGGUGCCGGAAGCUAUCGAACAGCUCCACGGGGCCGCGUUCUUAUCAAAUUGGAUCUCUGCGGAGUGCAUACAAUCUCAUCCGGGAGAGGGAUGAAUGGAAGACGGCUUUCAGCAUGAUGUCUGGUCACUCUGAUGCCUUCUGGCUUAGCCAAUGCGCCGUCAGUGUUCCAGGCAUUUGCCAACGAGGUGUUACGGGACAUGCUCGGAUGCCAGGUGGCUGUCUAUAUCAACAACAUCCUCUUCUACUUGGCUACCUUGGAGGAUCACAUCGAGUAGUCCUGGAACAUCUCCUGGCCAACCAACUAUUGUUCAAGGCAGAGCAGUGACAAUUUCAUCAGGAACUGUCUCUUUUCUAGGCAACCAGAACCGCCCGCAAGGAGUGCCGUUGUCGCUGGAUAUCCAGGUUUUACUCGUAGUACACCAUCUCCAAGAAGUAUUGGUGGCCAACCUUGGUGAGGGAUGUUAUUUGCUAUUGUAACGGAUGUGAAACGGCUUAGCGGUGCGCGCUAAAUAGCGUUUCAAUCGGUGACAUCACUUGCUCUGAGACCUUGAAGUAGUAGUUCCCCUUGCUCUUCAAGGGCCGCGGCUUUUGUGGAGCGAUGGGUAACGAUGCUUCGAGGGUGACUGUUGUUGAUGUGUGCAGAGGGUCCCUGGUUCGCGCCUGGGUAUGGGCGAGGGGACGGUCUAAAGUUAUACUGUUACACUAUGUCAACUCCUGUUCCAUGUAGUGAUUUAUUACCGAUAUUUUCCUUGCCAAAAAAACAAUACCGAUUUUUAAAAUUGGGCUUUUUUUAAAGUGUUCUAGUAUAGUUAAAACAGAUGCAGCGGUCUAAGGCACUGCAUCUCAGUGCAUGAGGCAUCAGUCUCUACAGUCUCUUGUUUGAAUCCAGGCUGUAUCACAUCCCGCCGUGAUUGUGACUCCCAUAGGGCAACGCACAAUUGGCCCAGCAUCAUUCGGGCUAUCAUUGUAAGUAAGAAUUUGUUCUUAACUGAAUUGCCUAGUUAGAUAAAGGUUACACACACCACACUAACCAAUAAGUUAUUUUUCUGGCAUUUAUGUAUGUCCCCCUUGCAAGUAAAACAUAAUCAAAACCUA
Long non-coding RNA from Oncorhynchus mykiss (rainbow trout), 1555 nucleotides. RefSeq lists it as uncharacterized. NCBI's taxonomy places the organism in Eukaryota, Metazoa, Chordata, Actinopteri, Salmoniformes, Salmonidae. The record is from RefSeq and is a predicted model, not a curated record.